Molecule: ribosomal RNA, 942 nt
Filed under: uncultured bacterium
Lineage: Bacteria
Description: bacterial SSU rRNA
Rfam family: Bacterial small subunit ribosomal RNA
Source: RNAcentral
AAGCGAGCGCAGGCGGAAUGAUAAGUCUGAUGUGAAAGCCCACGGCUCAACCGUGGAACUGCAUCGGAAACUGUCAUUCUUGAGUGCAGAAGAGGAGAGUGGAACUCCAUGUGUAGCGGUGGAAUGCGUAGAUAUAUGGAAGAACACCAGUGGCGAAGGCGGCUCUCUGGUCUGCAACUGACGCUGAGGCUCGAAAGCAUGGGUAGCGAACAGGAUUAGAUACCCUGGUAGUCCAUGCCGUAAACGAUGAGCGCUAGGUGUUGGGGACUUUCCGGUCCUCAGUGCCGCAGCAAACGCAUUAAGCGCUCCGCCUGGGGAGUACGACCGCAAGGUUGAAACUCAAAGGAAUUGACGGGGGCCCGCACAAGCGGUGGAGCAUGUGGUUUAAUUCGAAGCAACGCGAAGAACCUUACCAGGUCUUGACAUCCUGAGACCGUUAUAGAGAUAUAAUUUUCCCUUCGGGGACUCAGAGACAGGUGGUGCAUGGCUGUCGUCAGCUCGUGUCGUGAGAUGUUGGGUUAAGUCCCGCAACGAGCGCAACCCUUGUCUUUAGUUGCCAGCAUUAAGUUGGGCACUCUAGAGAGACUGCCGGUGACAAACCGGAGGAAGGUGGGGAUGACGUCAAGUCAUCAUGCCCCUUAUGACCUGGGCUACACACGUGCUACAAUGGGCAGUACAACGAGAAGCGAACCUGCGAAGGCAAGCGGAUCUCUUAAAGCUGUUCUCAGUUCGGACUGCAGGCUGCAACUCGCCUGCACGAAGCUGGAAUCGCUAGUAAUCGCGGAUCAGCACGCCGCGGUGAAUACGUUCCCGGGCCUUGUACACACCGCCCGUCACACCAUGGAAGUCUGCAAUGCCCAAAGUCGGUGGGAUAACCCUUUGGGAGUCAGCCGCCUAAGGCAGGGCAGAUGACUGGGGUGAAGUCGUAACAAGGUAACCGUA